AGAGUUUGAUCAUGGCUCAGAUUGAACGCUGGCGGCAGGCCUAACACAUGCAAGUCGAACGGUAACAGGAAGCAGCUUGCUGCUUCGCUGACGAGUGGCGGACGGGUGAGUAAUGUCUGGGAAACUGCCUGAUGGAGGGGGAUAACUACUGGAAACGGUGGCUAAUACCGCAUAACGUCGCAAGACCAAAGAGGGGGACCUUCGGGCCUCUUGCCAUCAGAUGUGCCCAGAUGGGAUUAGCUUGUUGGUGAGGUAACGGCUCACCAAGGCGACGAUCCCUAGCUGGUCUGAGAGGAUGACCAGCCACACUGGAACUGAGACACGGUCCAGACUCCUACGGGAGGCAGCAGUGGGGAAUAUUGCACAAUGGGCGCAAGCCUGAUGCAGCCAUGCCGCGUGUAUGAAGAAGGCCUUCGGGUUGUAAAGUACUUUCAGCGGGGAGGAAGGUGUUGUGGUUAAUAACCGCAGCAAUUGACGUUACCCGCAGAAGAAGCACCGGCUAACUCCGUGCCAGCAGCCGCGGUAAUACGGAGGGUGCAAGCGUUAAUCGGAAUUACUGGGCGUAAAGCGCACGCAGGCGGUCUGUCAAGUCGGAUGUGAAAUCCCCGGGCUCAACCUGGGAACUGCAUUCGAAACUGGCAGGCUUGAGUCUUGUAGAGGGGGGUAGAAUUCCAGGUGUAGCGGUGAAAUGCGUAGAGAUCUGGAGGAAUACCGGUGGCGAAGGCGGCCCCCUGGACAAAGACUGACGCUCAGGUGCGAAAGCGUGGGGAGCAAACAGGAUUAGAUACCCUGGUAGUCCACGCCGUAAACGAUGUCUACUUGGAGGUUGUGCCCUUGAGGCGUGGCUUCCGGAGCUAACGCGUUAAGUAGACCGCCUGGGGAGUACGGCCGCAAGGUUAAAACUCAAAUGAAUUGACGGGGGCCCGCACAAGCGGUGGAGCAUGUGGUUUAAUUCGAUGCAACGCGAAGAACCUUACCUGGUCUUGACAUCCACAGAACUUUCCAGAGAUGGAUUGGUGCCUUCGGGAACUGUGAGACAGGUGCUGCAUGGCUGUCGUCAGCUCGUGUUGUGAAAUGUUGGGUUAAGUCCCGCAACGAGCGCAACCCUUAUCCUUUGUUGCCAGCGAUUAGGUCGGGAACUCAAAGGAGACUGCCAGUGAUAAACUGGAGGAAGGUGGGGAUGACGUCAAGUCAUCAUGGCCCUUACGACCAGGGCUACACACGUGCUACAAUGGCGCAUACAAAGAGAAGCGACCUCGCGAGAGCAAGCGGACCUCAUAAAGUGCGUCGUAGUCCGGAUUGGAGUCUGCAACUCGACUCCAUGAAGUCGGAAUCGCUAGUAAUCGUGGAUCAGAAUGCCACGGUGAAUACGUUCCCGGGCCUUGUACACACCGCCCGUCACACCAUGGGAGUGGGUUGCAAAAGAAGUAGGUAGCUUAACCUUCGGGAGGGCGCUUACCACUUUGUGAUUCAUGACUGGGGUGAAGUCGUAACAAGGUAACCGUAGGGGAACCUGCGGUUGGAUCACCUCCUUACCUUAAAGAA
RNAcentral lists this ribosomal RNA (1545 nucleotides) under Salmonella enterica subsp. enterica serovar Typhimurium. Its description in RNAcentral is "bacterial SSU rRNA". It matches the Rfam family "Bacterial small subunit ribosomal RNA". Lineage: Bacteria; Pseudomonadati; Pseudomonadota; Gammaproteobacteria; Enterobacterales; Enterobacteriaceae. The record is from RNAcentral.